GAUUUACUUCGGUAAUGACGUUGGGAAAGCGAGCGGCGGAUGGGUGAGUAACACGUGGGGAACCUGCCCCUAAGUCUGGGAUACCAUUUGGAAACAGGUGCUAAUACCGGAUAAUAAAGCAGAUCGCAUGAUCAGCUUUUGAAAGGCGGCGUAAGCUGUCGCUAAGGGAUGGCCCCGCGGUGCAUUAGCUAGUUGGUAAGGUAACGGCUUACCAAGGCGACGAUGCAUAGCCGAGUUGAGAGACUGAUCGGCCACAUUGGGACUGAGACACGGCCCAAACUCCUACGGGAGGCAGCAGUAGGGAAUCUUCCACAAUGGACGCAAGUCUGAUGGAGCAACGCCGCGUGAGUGAAGAAGGUUUUCGGAUCGUAAAGCUCUGUUGUUGGUGAAGAAGGAUAGAGGUAGUAACUGGCCUUUAUUUGACGGUAAUCAACCAGAAAGUCACGGCUAACUACGUGCCAGCAGCCGCGGUAAUACGUAGGUGGCAAGCGUUGUCCGGAUUUAUUGGGCGUAAAGCGAGCGCAGGCGGAAAAAUAAGUCUAAUGUGAAAGCCCUCGGCUUAACGGAGGAACUGCAUCGGAAACUGUUUUUCUUGAGUGCAGAAGAGGAGAGUGGAACUCCAUGUGUAGCGGUGGAAUGCGUAGAUAUAUGGAAGAA
This 657-nucleotide ribosomal RNA is filed under the name uncultured bacterium. RNAcentral describes it as "bacterial SSU rRNA". It matches the Rfam family "Bacterial small subunit ribosomal RNA", at positions 68 to 706 of the family's 1533-position model. The record is from RNAcentral.